This 130-nucleotide small nuclear RNA is filed under the name Haemaphysalis longicornis (longhorned tick). RNAcentral describes it as "U1 spliceosomal RNA". It matches the Rfam family "U1 spliceosomal RNA", at positions 1 to 132 of the family's 166-position model. Rfam says of the family: U1 is a small nuclear RNA (snRNA) component of the spliceosome (involved in pre-mRNA splicing). Its 5' end forms complementary base pairs with the 5' splice junction, thus defining the 5' donor site of an intron. There are significant differences in sequence and secondary structure between metazoan and yeast U1 snRNAs, the latter being much longer (568 nucleotides as compared to 164 nucleotides in human). The record is from Rfam by way of RNAcentral. Lineage: Eukaryota; Metazoa; Arthropoda; Arachnida; Ixodida; Ixodidae.
AUACUUACCUGGUGCCGGGGCCUCGUUGAACAACAAGGACGAGCCCCCAGGGCAAGUUCGGGCAUUGCACUGUGCUCGCGUUGACCCCUGCCACUACCCCAAACAGGGGCAAACGGGGCAUGCAAAUUGC